GAUGAACGCUGGCGGCGUGCCUAACACAUGCAAGUCGAACGAAGCACCUUACCUGAUUCUUCGGAUGCAAGUUUGGUGACUGAGUGGCGGACGGGUGAGUAACGCGUGGGAAACCUGCCCUGUACAGGGGGAUAACAGCUGGUAACGGCUGCUAAUACCGCAUACGCGCACGAGGAGACAUCUCCUCGUGUGAAAAACUCCGGUGGUACAGGAUGGGCCCGCGUCUGAUUGGCUGGUUGGCAGAGUAACGGCCUACCAAGGCAACGAUCAGUAGCCGGUCUGAGAGGAUGAACGGCCACAUUGGAACUGAGACACGGACCAAACUCCUACGGGAGGCAGCAGUGGGGAAUAUUGCACGAUGGGGGAAACCCUGAUGCAGCAACGCCGCGUGAGUGAAGAAGUAUGUUGGUAUGUAAAGCUCUAUCAGCAGGGGAGAUAAUGACGGUACCGGACUAAGAAGCUCCGGCUAAAUACGUG
RNAcentral lists this ribosomal RNA (477 nucleotides) under uncultured bacterium. RNAcentral describes it as "partial 16S ribosomal RNA". It matches the Rfam family "Bacterial small subunit ribosomal RNA", at positions 28 to 507 of the family's 1533-position model. The record is from RNAcentral.